RNAcentral lists this ribosomal RNA (406 nucleotides) under uncultured bacterium. RNAcentral's name for it is "partial 16S ribosomal RNA". It matches the Rfam family "Bacterial small subunit ribosomal RNA", at positions 30 to 526 of the family's 1533-position model. The record is from RNAcentral.
UUGAACGCUGGCGGCUGCUUAACACAUGCAAGUCGAACGGAGUGGCGAACGGGUGAGUAACGCGUGAGCAACCUGCCUAUGACAGUGGGAUAGCCUCGGGAAACCGGGAUUAAUACCGCAUAGUCAUAGAUGGGCUCGCGUCUGAUUAGCUAGUUGGUGAGAUAACAGCCCACCAAGGCGACGAUCAGUAGCCGGUCUGAGAGGAUGAACGGCCACAUUGGAACUAGGACACGGUCCAAACUCCUACGGGAGGCAGCAGUGGGGAAUAGAGCACAAUGGGGGAAGCCCUGAUGCAGCGAGGCCGCGAGAACGAAGAAGGUAUUCGUAUCGUAAAGUUCUGUCCUAUGAGAAGCAGUACCAUAGAAGAAAGCUCCGGCUAACUCCGUGCCAGCAGCCGCGGUAAUAC